AUUAGUUUACUAUUGGAGCGGUUAGUGGCGGACUGGUGAGUAACACGUAAGCAACCUGCCUAUUAGAGGGGAACAACAGUUAGAAAUGACUGCUAAUACCGCAUAUGCCUAAGUACCACAUGGUGCAAUAGGGAAAGGAGUAAUCCGCUGAUAGAUGGGCUUGCGUCUGAUUAGAUAGUUGGUGGGGUAAUGGCCUACCAAGUCGACGAUCAGUAGCCGGACUGAGAGGUUGAACGGCCACAUUGGGACUGAGAUACGGCCCAGACUCC
Molecule: ribosomal RNA, 269 nt
Filed under: uncultured Oscillospiraceae bacterium
Lineage: Bacteria; Bacillati; Bacillota; Clostridia; Eubacteriales; Oscillospiraceae
Description: partial 16S ribosomal RNA
Rfam family: Bacterial small subunit ribosomal RNA
Source: RNAcentral